GGCGGCACGCCUAACACAUGCAAGUCGAACGGAGUUUUGAGAGCUUGCUUUUAAAACUUAGUGGCGGACGGGUGAGUAACACGUGAGCAACCUGCCUUUCAGAGAGGGAUAGCUUCUGGAAACGGAUGGUAAUACCUCAUAAUAUAUUUCUGUGGCAUCACAGAAAUAUCAAAGAUUUAUCGCUGAAAGAUGGUCUCACGUCUGAUUAGCUAGAUGGCGGGGUAACGGCCCACCAUGGCGACGAUCAGUAGCCGGUCUGAGAGGAUGAACGGCCACAUUGGGACUGAGAUACGGCCCAGACUCCUACGGGAGGCAGCAGUGGGGAAUAUUGGGCAAUGGGGGAAACCCUGACCCAGCAACGCCGCGUGAAGGAAGAAGGCCCUCGGGUUGUAAACUUCUUUUACCAGGGACGAAGAACGUGACGGUACCUGGAGAAAAAGCAACGGCUAACUACGUGCCAGCAGCCGCGGUAAUACGUAGGUUGCAAGCGUUGUCCGGAUUUACUGGGUGUAAAGGGCGUGUAGGCGGAGAUGCAAGUUGGGAGUGAAAUCCCGGGGCUCAACCCCGGAACUGCUUUCAAAACUGUAUCCCUUGAGUGUCGGAGAGGCAAGCGGAAUUCCUAGUGUAGCGGUGAAAUGCGUAGAUAUUAGGAGGAACACCAGUGACGAAGGCGGCUUGCUGGACGAUAACUGACGCUGAGGCGCGAAAGCGUGGGGAGCAAACAGGAUUAGAUACCCUGGUAGUCCACGCUGUAAACGAUGAAUACUAGGUGUGGGAGGACUGACCCCUUCCGUGCCGCAGUUAACACAAUAAGUAUUCCACCUGGGGAGUACGACCGCAAGGUUGAAACUCAAAGGAAUUGACGGGGGCCCGCACAAGCAGCGGAGCAUGUGGUUUAAUUCGAAGCAACGCGAAGAACCUUACCUAGACUUGACAUCUCCUGCAUUACCCUUAAUCGGGGAAGUUCCUUCGGGAACAGGAAGACAGGUGGUGCAUGGUUGUCGUCAGCUCGUGUCGUGAGAUGUUGGGUUAAGUCCCGCAACGAGCGCAACCCUUAUUGUUAGUUGCUACCAUUUAGUUGAGCACUCUAGCGAGACUGCCCGGGUUAACCGGGAGGAAGGUGGGGAUGACGUCAAAUCAUCAUGCCCCUUACGCCCUGGGCUACACACGUACUACAAUGGCGCAGCAACAACGGGGAGCGAAGGCGUGAGCCGGAGCAAAUCCUUAAAAGGCGUCCCAGUUCAGAUUGCAGGCUGCAACUCGCCUGCAUGAAGUUGGAAUUGCUAGUAAUCGCGGAUCAGCAUGUCGCGGUGAAUACGUUCCCGGGCUUUGCACACACCGCCCGUCAA
This 1349-nucleotide ribosomal RNA is filed under the name uncultured bacterium. RNAcentral describes it as "bacterial SSU rRNA". It matches the Rfam family "Bacterial small subunit ribosomal RNA", at positions 38 to 1400 of the family's 1533-position model. The record is from RNAcentral.